This 4156-nucleotide long non-coding RNA is filed under the name Sus scrofa (pig). Its description in RNAcentral is "lncRNA (ENSSSCG00000060581.1)". Lineage: Eukaryota; Metazoa; Chordata; Mammalia; Artiodactyla; Suidae. The record is from RNAcentral.
AAAGUACUGCCAAGUUCAGUCUCUGAGAGAUGAUUUGAUGAGCCCAGCUGCUUUUUUCCACAUCAGAUCUGUUGGGGUCAUAGAGAAGGCCUCCAAUAAAAAGCAAUCCUCUUCCCUACUCAAGUUCGAAAUGAACUGAAAAUAAGACACAGGGCCAGUUGAAUCCCAUAGACCAGCUUUAUUGCUGAUAAGAGUCCAGGUUGGAGGAUGUGGGUCUGCCACGGAAAUGCCAUGCUUGGGCAGAUGACCACCUGUCACAGGUAGUAGGGAACUAGGCUCUCCAAGGGGAACAGUCGGGGACAGGCUUCCCUCACUCUUGUCCUUCCUACCACUCAGGCAUCGACCCCUGAGGCACAGCAAGGAAUGCAGGGCCCUCUGGAGGCAGCCUGCUCUCACAAGCAUCAGCUUCCGGGUGGCAGAAAGCCAGGAGAACAUUUCUGGAACAACAGGAGUCAAAGUAUAUUUCUUAAAGAUAAUCUGUUAACUUGUCAAUGUCACGGACAAGCUCUAAUGAUGUACAAUGAAAACUUGUUAAAUCAAAGCUGUUUAGAUAUGACAGCAAAGUGGGCUUCACCCAAGCCCCAAAGCCUUUUCUCUACUUGCCACUCCAGAAACAAGGUAGAAAACGUGAAUAUAUGAUUCUGUAUGGUGACAUUUUAAAUGAUCAUUAUAUCCAUUUAUGGAGCACCUGCUAUGUGUCAGGCAUUAUACUAAGUGCCUUAUAUAAAAGAACUCCGUUAGGAAGGCAUUAUCCCAUUUUGCAGAGGAGGAGACUGAGACUCAGGUUAAGUAACUCUCCCAAGAAACAGGAGCAGUGGGCAACGGGAGCCUACGAAGGAAAAGGAAAGAUGAGGAAAGGAAUUGUUGAAGGAGCAGAACCUGCACACAGCACUGAGGGAGGAACACCAGGACUGCCCUGAGUGGGGCACCCACACCAGUGGUCUGAGAGGCCCAGCCAUUCCCUUAAUUCUGUCAUUUGCCUGGGCCUUCAGUCUGUUAGAAUCCAGUUUUUUCAGAGUGCUUCCAUUAACAUCCUGAAUCCUUUCUGGGUACAGAUUUCACACUUCAUUUGGAAAAGCAAAAAAGAGAUUCUCUUGUUGGGCUGAAACUGAGACAAAGUUUAUUUGAUUUUUUUUUUUUUUUCUUUCCCCUUGCUCAGGGCUGUGGAUAGUGGUUUUGAAAAUGGAUUCUGGUUUCAGAAACUAAUCAGUCCCAGACAAGUUCAAGAAACCAUUUGAUAAUUAUUCAAAGAUGAGCACUUACUUUUUUAAUUAUAAAAAUAGCAAUAAUACACUUAUUAUGGAAGUUUUAAGAAAAUGGGUAAAUGUAUGAAUGAGGAAAUAACACAGGUGUUAUUAAUAACACCUUAAUAAUUCCUGAGGCUACAACCAAGUGGCAAUCCCUGCUAAAAUCGUGGUAUGUUUCUUCCGUCUGUGUGUGUCUGCAUAUGUGUGUGUUUUAAUACCUGAUAUCAUACUGCACCUACAUUUUGAAUCUUUUUCACUUAAAAAUAAAACAUGAAUACUUAAAUAUGAGCUAUUGUCAUUUAAAAAAAAUCUGUUUACCACACACUUUACAUGGAUGAUCUCAUUUAAUUAAAUAGAACCCCAAGAACAGUUACUACAAUUCUGAUUUCAUAGAUAGAGAAACUGGGGCUCAGAGGCUAUGAAAGGAUAUGCCAUUUCUACGUGAUCCUUGAUUGUUACUGAGGUUUAUCUUUUAUGUGUUUAGUAGCCAUAUAUGUCUUAUCUCAUUUCCUGUUUUUUAGUUGAAGAAUUCAUCUUUUUCUCAUUGAUAUUAGGAACUUUUAUAUACUAAGGUUAUUAACCUUUUGCAUGUAAAAUAGAAAUAUUUUCUUCCUUUGGCCAUUAGCCUCUAUAAUUUUUUCUAAUUUUGACAUACAUAAAUUAAUUUUUCAAUGCUCAAACGAUUUCCCCAUGUUUUCUUCUUUUUAAUGCUUAUUUUCCCACCAAAUUAUAGAGCUGUAUUUAUUCUAGUUGUUAAGGGGUCUCAUUUUUUGUGUGUACUUAAAUGUAGUACAUCUGGAAUUUAUUGUGUAGUGUGAGGUAAAGAGAUAAUCAAUAAUUGUCCUAGCUGUUAAUUGACUGUAAUUUCCUCACUGAUUUGAAAUGCCACAUUUAUCACAUUAUAAAUUCUGGCACACACUGGGGUCUGUUUCUGAAUUUCUGCAUCUGGUGCUAUGGCAAACUUUGCAAACUAUUCACCAAACUCCUUUAAAAAAAAAAAUUCCUUCUGGACAGACAACUAGACUACAUUUCCCAGGUUCCCUUGUACUUAGUUUUCAUAUAACUGAUAGAGGAUGAGGGAAGUAAUAGUGGCACCUCCACAAUAGCCUACAAAAGUAAAAACCUGGGUUUGAGCUGCCUGCGAUUGAGAGGACUCCCAGGGGAGUCUUGGAAGCACUGUGACCAGAUGAAGGAGGCUGGGCCUCUGAGUCUUUCUUGAGAAAUAGAUGCUGGCCCAUCUGAAAUGCCCAUUUUGGACUUGAUGUGAAUGAGAUAUGAACUUGUAUUAUGAGGGUCUGUAUAUCUGAAAGCCAAUUAUUUUUUACAAUUCUUAAAACAUUAAGAAUAAUUUUGCUACCCUAUGUCCAAAAACAAGUCUUAUUGAAUUUGCAUUAACCUUAAAAAAUAAAUAUGGGAAAGAUUGUGAUUUAUGCUAUUCAGUCUUCCAAUUCAAAAACAUACUGUGUUCUACAGUUAUUUAUUCUUUUAUAGUCUUCAUUAAAAUUUGGUGGUUUUCUUCAUAUAGAUCCUGCCUAUUUUAUGUUUAAAUGGUUGUUUUUUUUUGUGGGAUUUUCCCUUUGACAUUAUUCAACUUAUUUUUGUUCAUAUAUAACUAUCUUUGGUGUAUUUAAAAUCUAGACACCUUAAUAGUUUCUUAAUUGAUUUUGGGGAUCCUCAAGGUAUUUUUCUGUAAAGGGCCAGAUAGUACAUUGUUUAGACUUUGUGAGCUACAUUGUCUCUGUCAUAACUAUUCAGCUUUGCUGCUGUAGUUCACAGACAGCCACUACAUAAUAUGUAAAUGAAAGGGUAUGGUUAUGUUGUAAUAAAACUUUAUUUACCAAAGCAAUCCACCGGCCAGACUUAGCCCUUGCUCCAUAGUUGCCCCCCUCCCCCCGGUCAAAAUAAAUCAUAUUAUCUACAAAUAACAUUACUUUUUAAGACUUACAGUAUUGCCUACAACUUUGAUAACUACAAAUAUUAAAAUAGUUGUGAUAGUAUCAUAUCUAUUUCUUAUUUUAAUGAGAUUGUCUCUAGUGUUUCAUGUUUAAGAAUGAUGGUGCAUGGCUGUUGACUUGAAAGAGAGGGGUGUGUGUGUGUUUCUAUAAUUUUAAAGUUGUACUCCAUAUCAUUCUAUACCAAGUUUACUUCAAGUUUUAAACAGGAAGGACAUUCAGUCUUAUGCCUUUUGAUCAUAUAUUGAGAUAAUAAUGUAACUUUUGUCCUUUGACCUAUUACUGUAUAACUUACAUUCCUGGAUUUCCCUAUUCCAAACCAUCCAUGAAUUCGUAGAUAACAUAAUAAACAUUGUGUGUAUUAUUCUUCUAAUACUACUAGGUAGGAUUUCUGCAUGCUUAUCAACUUGGGAAAUUGGUUGAUAGAUUUUUAUAAUCUAGUAUUGGUCAAAUUUAUUUUAGAAUUAUGAUUUUUAAAUGAGUUUUCAUAUUUCCUUGUCUCAAAAAAAAAUGCUGUAGGGAUUUUUUUUUCUUUGAUCCUUAUAAAUUUGACAAAUCACCAGUCGUACACUUUGGGGAGGCAACUAUUUAGCAAUAUUUUUCCAUUUCUUCUAUAGCUUUUGUUGCAUUUAAGUUUCCUAUUUAUGGGAUGGGUGAAUCUUUUGGAAGAGUUGUCAGCGAAUGUCAAUCUAAAAGAAAAGAGUAAAAAAUAUUUUUGAAGAUGCUUGAAGUAUGGGAAGCUAUUUGUGAAAACAAGCUAGAAGAAGCUAGUAUCCUCUUAAAUAUUUAUAUUUCCUUAAUUUUAUUUGUCUCAAGUCAGGGCUACCAUAGUCCCAUUUAUUUUGAAUGGCCCGGAGUAAUUUCUAUCCAUCAACAGUAAACUUCUGUAAGUACACCUCAAUAGCAAUAGAAGUGAGGUGAAUUAUUAUAAAAUGAUAACUUGGGCAACAGACAAAC